Molecule: long non-coding RNA, 1735 nt
Organism: Megalobrama amblycephala (Wuchang bream)
Lineage: Eukaryota; Metazoa; Chordata; Actinopteri; Cypriniformes; Xenocyprididae
Exons: 2
Source: RefSeq, a predicted model, not a curated record
ACAAACAAAAAUCAUAAUUAAACAACACUGUUAUUUAGAAUUUUGCCAUUAUGAUAGCAGCUGAAAGAGUGUUUUGUUUGUUUGAAUGAAUGGAAACUGUUGAAUCCUUCCUCAUAAAGUUUUUUAAUGAGGAAGGGAAAGAGAGACAGAAGCGCGUUCAUCUCCAUUGUUAAGAUUUACUGUACUUUGCAACAACACCUGUUCAAAUAUAUUUUAUUUUGAAAUGUCUUUAUCGUAAUUAUAGUUUUUAAUUAAUUGCUUUUAAACUUAACAAAUAACUUCUGUUUAGGGUUUGUAACUAAACAAAUCAAUACAUUUCAUUUUAAGGCUUUCGCGCAACUUGUUUCCGUCACAACAAGGCAGACAUGCACAGGUUUACUAAGAGCAAAAAUGUAAAAUCAAUAAGAUAACUGAGGAAUUAGUCAUCAGAUGCCAUGUCCGUUAUUUGCAGCAAAAAUCUGCAAAAAUACAGCAAAAAUCUGUAUCUCAAACAGAUUAAUUUAAAUAAGUUAUUUCACCACCUGCGUGACAUCAUUAACCAACGUUUGCAUCCGUAGGCUACUAUGCUAGUUAAGCUGGAGAUCAGGGCUGGAUUUCCCGAUAACGUUGUUUCUUAGCGCGCUACGAAGACUCUAAAGGUAGACCUUAACUGAAUAUAGGCUACCGUUUCCAGGCGUGUUCCCCGAACUGUUCCUUAGGAGGUUGCUUAAGGUAUAUCUUCUUAAUUGCGACGUUAGGUGCUGUCCACGGCGCUGGUGCUGAAUUGGUUGAUAUCGAUGGCUCGAGAAUCGAUAAUUAACUCUAUACAGGGGCUGCUUCACUGCAUUAUGUGAGAAAUACGUGUUCUUUAUAAAAAGAAGCACUUCAGAAGUAGAAAUUGCAUUUAUCGGGACUCAUGGGAUGUUAUAAAUGUAAUCCAAAUUGCAAACUAAAUCUAUAAUGUAAUUUAUCUAUAUUCUGGGGGCGCGGAGCCCCCAUCAGCCUGAGUUUAAGGCCGUUAUUUUUGAACAGUUUUAAUUCCUUUGAGACGCGUCAUGCAGCUGACAGACAUGUAGGUAUCGCGUUUAUAUCGUUUUUUUCAUGUUUAAUUCAAAAUAUUCACCAACCAUUUAACUAUAACUUAAAAACACCGAAUAGUUGUGAUACAUGGCAAGCGCGGAGCGCGCGUCUGGCUCUGGAUCAGCGCUAAAGCACUGUAGAUGUCGCAGAUAAAGAGCAUUUUCUCGCUGAAUAUUUUGGUCACUUGAAAGUUUAUUUUUGUUAUAAAUGUUGUUAUAAAUAAUUGAAUACUUGUUUGGGUAUUGUAUAUUUUAUUUGCAUGAUAGCUAGCAAUAGUGACAUCUAGUGGAGUACAUGACUAGCGUUUGAUAUGUGACUUUUUUUGCUGCGUGAGCAACGGAAAACAUGAGGUGAUGACACGAAUUGAGAGGUGAUCUGAUCUGACACAAAGAUUGAGAAUUUGAUAAGAAGAUGUCUCAUAAUGUCUCCUGGAUCCUUAUUGAAAGGCACACGUUUUUUCACGGUGUUCAUUUGAUGGGUGAUGUCGACUGUCUCUACUCCUAAGAAGAAGACAUUAAAAUUGAAGCAAUCAUAGGCAUCAGUUGAACCGUGUUUUUUUUAGUCACGGAGAAAAAAUUCAGGAGUCGUUAUAGUGAAAAAACGUGUAUUCACAUUCCCUGGAAGAGUGCCAGAUUUCAUCGUGGAAAAAGAAAGAUCGUUGUCAGACUUCGACGUG